Molecule: unclassified non-coding RNA, 88 nt
Filed under: Epilithonimonas bovis DSM 19482
Lineage: Bacteria; Pseudomonadati; Bacteroidota; Flavobacteriia; Flavobacteriales; Weeksellaceae
Description: Chryseobacterium bovis DSM 19482 Flavo-1 RNA
Source: RNAcentral
UCAAAACCGCAGCCCGACUUGAGUGGAGCUCUUUUUUGUGAAGAGGCACGAUGAACAAAAAAAGCGGGAACGGAAGGCGGAAUAGCUG